RNAcentral lists this ribosomal RNA (253 nucleotides) under uncultured bacterium. RNAcentral describes it as "partial 16S ribosomal RNA". It matches the Rfam family "Bacterial small subunit ribosomal RNA", at positions 524 to 776 of the family's 1533-position model. The record is from RNAcentral.
GACAGAGGCGGGGAGCGUUAUCCGGGGUCAUUGGGCGUCAAGGGUACGUCGGCGGCUAGUCAAGUCUGAGGUUAAAGACCACAGCUUAACUGUGGGAAGGCCUUGGAAACUGACUGGCUAGAGUGGGGCAGGGGUUUCGGGAAUUGCCGGUGUAGCGGUGAAAUGCGUAGAUAUCGGGAAGAACACCUGAGGCGAAAGCGCGCAACUGGGCCCUAACUGACGCUUAGGUACGUAAGCUAGGGGAGCGAAGGGG